Molecule: long non-coding RNA, 534 nt
Filed under: Salvia miltiorrhiza (redroot sage)
Lineage: Eukaryota; Viridiplantae; Streptophyta; Magnoliopsida; Lamiales; Lamiaceae
Description: long non-coding RNA (SMIL_LNC001757)
Source: RNAcentral
CAUUUCAAUGAAUGAAUUCCAAGUUACUAAUUGCAAUUCCCAAGAAAAGAGGAUAAAUAUGUUUCUUAGAUUUAAAAGGAAACCCAUUCCUUUGUUCUAUCAAAAAAGUGCCGACUUUUUCCCAAGAAAGAGAAUCCCCAUUUUCUUCCUUCAAGUUUGAGUUUGUAAGAAAUUUCAAAUAAUAGCUGAGAUAUUUUGAAAGAAAAGGUAAAGUUCUUAAUAUUUUUACAUCUAUCUAAUUCUAGCUUGAAGGAAAUUUAUGUUUUGAAUUUUAGGGUUUUCCGAAAAUUUGAGGAUUUUAUGCUAGAGUUCAAGUAUGAUCGUAAUAUUGAGAUAUAGUACGUCUUUGGUGUUCCUAAGCAUGAUUAUGCUGGUUAAUUGUAUUAAUUUUUACUUGAUUUCGAGUUUACUCAAGUUAGUAUGAACCCUAGGUUUGAGGUUGAGAGUUAUGAUUAUGUUCUUGAAUAAUUGGACUCAUAUAUGUGUUCUUGAGUUGGAAUUAUGUCAUAUAUCAAUAAAUUAUGAGUUUACACC